CAGCAGCCGCGGUAACACGUAGGGUGCGAGCGUUAAUCGGAAUUACUGGGCGUAAAGCGUGCGCAGGCGGUUGUGUAAGACAGGUAUGAGAUCCCCGGGCUUAACCUGGGAACUGCGCUUGUGACUGCACAGCUAGAGUAUGGCAGAGGGGGGUGGAAUUCCACGUGUAGCAGUGAAAUGCGUAGAGAUGUGGAGGAACAUCGAUGGCGAAGGCAGCCCCCUGGGCCAAUACUGACGCUCAUGCACGAAAGCGUGGGGAGCAAACAGGAUUAGAUACCCGAGUAGUCCCUGUCUCUUAUAA
This 301-nucleotide ribosomal RNA is filed under the name uncultured bacterium. RNAcentral describes it as "partial 16S ribosomal RNA". It matches the Rfam family "Bacterial small subunit ribosomal RNA", at positions 509 to 809 of the family's 1533-position model. The record is from RNAcentral.